UACAGAGGGUACAAGCGUUAUUCGGAAUUAUUGGGUGUAAAGGGCGUGUAGGCGGUUUUAUAAGUCUAAUGUGAAAUACCGAGGCUCAACCUCGGUGCUGUGUUGGAUACUGUAAGACUUGAGAAUGGAAGGGGUAAGUGGAAUUUCUAGUGUAGAGGUAAAAUUCAUGGAUAUUAGAAGGAACUCCAAAGGCGAAGGCAACUUACUGGGACAUUUCUGACGCUGAGGCGCGAAAGUGUGGGGAUCAAAC
Molecule: ribosomal RNA, 250 nt
Filed under: uncultured bacterium
Lineage: Bacteria
Description: partial 16S ribosomal RNA
Rfam family: Bacterial small subunit ribosomal RNA
Source: RNAcentral